CCUACGGGAGGCAGCAGUAAGGAAUAUUGGUCAAUGGGGGCAACCCUGAACCAGCCAUGCCGCGUGCAGGAUGACGGCCCUAUGGGUUGUAAACUGCUUUUAUACCAGAGAAAACCCGAGUACGUGUACUCGGUUGAUAGUAUGGUAAGAAUAAGCAUCGGCUAACUUCGUGCCAGCAGCCGCGGUAAGACGAAGGAUGCAAGCGUUAUCCGGAUUCAUUGGGUUUAAAGGGUGCGUAGGCGGACCUGUAAGUCAGUGGUGAAAUCUCUUUGCUUAACAAAGAAACUGCCAUUGAUACUGCAAGUCUAGAGUAUAGAUGACGUUGGCGGAAUAUGACAUGUAGUGGUGAAAUACUUAGAUAUGUCAUAGAACACCGAUUGCGAAGGCAGCUAACGAAACUAUAACUGACGCUGAGGCACGAAAGUGCGGGGAUCAAACAGGAUUAGAUACCCUGGUAGUCCGCACCGUAAACGAUGAUUACUCGUUGUUGGCAUAUAGUACGUCGACGCGACCGAACGACGAACGACGAGUAAGUAACUACCGUACCGUACGGGUACGGUACGGACCGGACCGAACCGGUACGAACCGUAACGAAACGGUAAGUUAGUACGGACGUAGAGACGUUACGACCGACGGACGACGACGAGGGAGGAGG
Molecule: ribosomal RNA, 655 nt
Filed under: uncultured bacterium
Lineage: Bacteria
Description: bacterial SSU rRNA
Rfam family: Bacterial small subunit ribosomal RNA (bases 1-542)
Source: RNAcentral